Molecule: long non-coding RNA, 3764 nt
Filed under: Homo sapiens (human)
Lineage: Eukaryota; Metazoa; Chordata; Mammalia; Primates; Hominidae
Description: HSALNT0024876
Source: RNAcentral
CUUAAUUAAAGAUGGAAUUUAUUAUCAAAAUGGAAACACAACUUAAAGAUUUGGAAAAUUCUCAGCCUGGCCACGUAAAGAAUGAGAAAGUGUGUUUUGGAGUGAAUAUUAAGGAUGUGGCUAAGCAACUGUUUGAAAUGGAGGUUAGUAUGGAUAGAAGGAAGCCAGGCGCUAUUCACCGAGACAAUGAAAGAAUGAUCCCAAAGGCAUUUCUGAAAUCUUUGUGGAUACCCUACUGUCACAGGCCCAAAGUGCCAUGGCCUUGUGGGCAGAACAGUUUCAAAAGAGGGACCAAGGUGCCUGUGGCCUCACUGCCCAGGGCCACCUCAAAUCUCUGCUCCCUGCAUUCUGGUGCAGCAUUUCUUGGCUGCCCUAGCUGUUGCUCAAGCCACUCAGGAGGGUACAAGCUGUAUUACAUGGUGGCAUCCAUGAGAUGCUAACUCUGCAGGCACACAGAGUUCAUGAGCUGUGGAAGCAUGGCUACCUCCAUCUAGGUUUCAAAAGAUGCCUUGGAGAGCCUUGGAGAAUAGGCAGAGAACUUCUACCAGGAGAAGACUGCCACUGAAAAUUCCCACCAGAGCAAUGCCCAGCAGAGGCAUGAGGUUGGAGUGACCUGUGACAUCUGAGACAUGUAGGGCCACCAGUGUUCAGUGACAGCCUUGGGGAGCCACAGCCACUUGACUCUAACCCAUAACAGCUUCAGCAUGAGCUGAGCUCAGACAAUCCACGGGAGUAGGAUCCCCUGGAGUCUUGGGGACCCAACCCCUGCCCCAGUGUGUCUGGAAUAAGGGACGUGGAGUCAAAGAAUAUUAUUCUCAGGCCUCAAGAUUGAAUGUUGUUUGCCUUGUUGCGUUUUAGACUUACUCAGGACCUAUUACCCCUUUCUGCCUUUCUGUUACUUUUUCUUAGAAUGGGAAUGUCUAUCUGAUGCCUGUCCCGCUACUGUAUAUUAAAAGUACCUUGCUUUAUUUCACAGGCUCACAGCUGGAGAAGGAAUUUGAAUUAAAGAAAUCAUACCACAAGUUUCAUCUGUACCUGAUUUAGAUGAUAUUUUGGAUGAUAUUUUAGAUGAUAUUUAGUUUAGAAUUUGGACAUAGAGUUUUAAGUUGAUGCUGGAAUAAGUAAAGAUUUGGGGGGCUAUUGGAAUGGAAUGAAUGUAUUUCACAUGUGAGAAGGACACAAAUUUAGGGGAGACUGGGGCAGAAUGCUAUGGUUUGAAUUUGCCUGUCUUUCAAAAUUUGUGGUAAAAUGUAGUCCUCGUUGUUGUAGUAUUAAAAGAUGGGGCCUAUGGGGAAGUGAUUGAGUCAUGAAGGAUCUGCUCUCACGGACGGAUUAGUGCCUUGUAACCGGGAUGGAGGAAACUAACUUAGGUCUCUUUUUUCCUUCUGCCAUACGCAGCAACAAAGCACCAUCUUGGAAGCAGAGAGCCACCCUCACCAGAACUGAAUGCAGGCACCGUGACCUUGAACUUCCCAGCCUCCAGAACUUGCUGCCAGGACCUGCAGAACUCCAGAUGGAUUCCCCUGGCUGACACUUGAAAGAUUUUUGCUCUAACUUAAUAGAAAUGACAGACUGGCAAAGCCAUAGUUAAAUCAGCUGGAGGAGCCACAAAUCAAAUCAUCUUUACAGAAAGAUGUGAGUGCACAUGGAAAUUUAUGGAGUCUCUCAGCAUUGUAGAAGAGCCUCUGUUUCUUCUCACUGGUUCCUGUCCUCCUCAGCUUGGUAUAUAACUCCUGAGGGCUGAAUACCUGGUUGCUGAAGGAUCCAGUCCCUGCCCUAUAACCGAGGAAGAAUUUCUACUUCCCCUUCCUGUCCAGAAGUGAUAUUCCCAGGUAUCACCUUUUUCUCUCCUGCCCUAUGGACUUCAGAUAUAUCUAUCUGCCUUUCACUAUGACAAUAAAUGUCACUGAUUUGCUUUAAUGGUAGAAAAGACUACAGAGAGAGAGAGUAAAAAUAAAAAAUGUAUUAAUAUGGGAGAAUAUACACCCAGAGGAAUUUUUGAAAAUAGUUUCUCCAUCACAGAAGCAAAACUAGAGCUGGGUGGUUUAUACUGGGUGAUAUAGUUUGGCUGUGUCCCUACCCAAAUCUCACCUUGAAUUGUAAUAAUUCCCAUGUGUCAAGUGUGGGACCAGGUAGAGAUAAUUGAAUCAUGGGGGUGGUUUUCCCCAUACCGUUCUCACGGUAAUGAAUAAGUCUCAUGAGAUCUGAUGGUUUUAUAAAUGGGAGUUCCCCUGCACAAGCUGUCUUGCCUGCUGUCAUGUAAGAUGUGACUUUGCUCCUCAUUCACCUUCUGCCAUGACUGUGAGGCUUCCCCAGCCAUGUGGAACUGUGAGUCAAUCAAACCUCCUUCCUGUAUAAAUUACCUAGUCUCAGGUAUGUCUUUAUUAGCAGUGUGAGAACAGACUAAUACUAUCUCCUCCUGUAGAUAGCAAAGGAGUGAUUCUACUGCAUUAACAUUAAUCUCAUGAAUUUAGCAUCAUUCCAGUCCUGGUUUUAGCUCAAGCCUAAUUGGAGGAGAGUAGACAGCAACCAGCUGUAAUACAAAAAGCAACCAUUUGGAAUCAGAGCUAGAUUCAAAUCCAGGUCUCAUCACUUCAUACAAUGUUACCUUUGGGCAAGUUAUUCUGUCUCUUUGGGCUUCAAGUGGCCUUUCCAAAAUGUCAUCUACAUCAUAAAAGUGUUGCUGAUAUUCAGUGAAAUAUUCCAUAUGAAACCCCUCACAAAGGACCAGGAACAUAGUAAGUCUAAAUACAUGUUUGUUUCCAUUCCUCCACCAUUUUCCUUUAUAAGAUGAAGUGAGAAAUUAUAUGCUCUCUGGGAAAUGGCUAUCUGCAAAGACUUGUGGCAUUCUACUUUCUGGAUAUAUUGCCUUAUGUCUGGCAAACUGUACUGAUUAAAACUUUGAACAGAAGAAGGAAAAACUAAUUUGGAAGGGCUAAUCAAGACUCUCCAUAGUCCAAAAGGGAUGAUUUCUCAGUUGUGCAGAGAACCAAUAAACCUCCAUCCUGAGGACAAAAGUAAUUUUGUGAAACUGCAUGAAGUUUCUCUAGAGAGAGAGACUUCACAAAGCCCAGUGGUCACAGCUGUGCAGUGGAACCGAACUACUUUGAAUCUCUGCCAUCAAAGGAAAGAAUCUCAGGAUUUUCUGCUACAGAAGCAUGAUCGUGUUUAAAUUCUUAAAAUGCUGCAUUAGCAAGAAUUCUCCACAGAAACAGACUCUCUCUCUAGAGUUGAGAGAGAGAGAGAGUUAAUAUAGGAAUUGGCUCAUGGGACAAUGGAGGCCAAGAAGUUCCAGAAUCUGAUGUCUGCAAGCCAGCAAACAAAGCCAAUAAUGUAAUUUAGUCUGAGUUCAAAGGCCCAAGAAUGGAGGUACUGAUGGUAUAAUUCCUGAUCUGAGUCUAAAGGCCCAAGAACCAGGAACACUCAUGUUAACAGAAAAUGAAUAGGCCAGGUGCAGUGGCUCACACCUGUAAUCCCAGCACUUUGGGUGGCUGAGGCCGGCAGAUCCAUCGAGGUCAGGAGUUUGAGACCAGCCUGACCAACAUGGUGAAACCCUGUCUCUACUAAAAAUACAAAAAUUAGCUAGAUAUGGUGGUGUGUGCCUGUAGUCCCAGCUACUUGGGAGGAUGAGCCACAAGAAUGAACCCAAGAGGCAGAGGUUGCAGUGAACUGAGGUUGCGCCACUGCACUCCAGUCUGGGUGACAGAGCAAGAAGAAAAAAAGAAGAGAGAUUAAUGUCUCGGCUCCAUAAGGAAAGAGAAAAU